CUUAAAAUCUAUAGUUCUUUGAAGGGCUAUCGAGUUGUAGCUUUUGGAAGUAGUUUUAAUUUUUUUCUCUACUGGGUUUUUUAUAACCAAGCUGGGUAAAAGUUCCUUUGAAUAGGACAUCAAAGAGGGUGAAAAUCCCGUAUUUGGCCCCACCUAGUAGUUGUAAAACUUUAUAAGCUGUUUUCUAUGAGUCGGGUUGUUUGGGAAUGCAGCCCUAAUUGGGAGGUAAAUUUCUUCCAAAGCUAAAUAUCAGCAAGAGACCGAUAGCAUACAAGUACCGUGAGGGAAAGAUGAAAAGCACUUUGAAAAGAGAGUGAAAAGUACGUGAAAUUGUUAAAAGGGAACCAGUUAGUUCUGGCCAUUUUUUUCUUAUUGUUUCUCUCGGGAAAUAGUAGGAGGGUCAACAUCAGUUGCUUUUUUUAGCUGCUAGAAAGGGAAUUUUUUGUAGACUAGUAAAGUCAGGUAGAAAUUAUCUUAAAGUUUCGGCUUUUUUAUAAUUUUGUUAUAGACUUUGUGGGUUUGCCUAUAUUUGCACCUAGUAGUGGCGGCGACUGAGGAAUUCAGUGUGUUUUUGACUUUUACGAGUUGAAUGGCUGGUUAUUGUUGCUAGUUUGUGGGCAAUUUUUUAUCUUUUUAGACAACUUUUUGUUGACUAAGAGGAGUUGAUUGUUUUUCCUACUUUCUUGGUAAUAUAUCUUCAGACUAACAAACACUUUGGAUGUUGGCUAUAAUGGCACUAAUUGACCCGUCUUGAAACACGGACCAAGGAGUUCAACAUAUAUGCGAGUAGAUGGGGGUAUUUAAACCCAGAUGCGCAAUGAAAGUGAAACUAUAACAUUUAUGUUAUGGAUAUAGAAUGCUAACUUUUUUUCUCUCGGGAAGGAUUGUGCAGCAUCAACCGACCUUAGAUAGCGUUGCUUGAAGAGGUUGAGUAAGAGCAUAUAUGCUGAGACCCGAAAGAUGGUGAACUAUGCCUGAAUAGGGUGAAGUCAGAGGAAACUCUGAUGGAAGCUCGUAGCGAUUCUGACGUGCAAAUCGAUCGCGAAAUUUGGGUAUAGGGGCGAAAGACUAAUCGAACCAUCUAGUAGCUGGUUCCUGCCGAAGUUUCCCUCAGGAUAGCAGAGACUUGUUUAGAGCAGUUUUACGAGGUAAAGCGAAUGAUUAGAGGCCUUGGGGCUGUAACAGCCUUAACCUAUUCUCAAACUUUAAAUGCGUAAGAAGUACUAGUUGCUUAAAUUUUUUAUGAACUAGUACACUUUGAAUGCAAGAAGUCUCUAGUGGGCCAUUUUUGGUAAGCAGAACUGGCGAUGCGGGAUGAACCGAACGUAGAGUUAAGGUGCCUAAAUGCACGCUAAUUUAGACACCAUAAAAGGUGUUAGUUCAUCUAGACAGCAGGGCGGUGGCCAUGGAAGUCGGAAUCCGCUAAGGAGUGUGUAACAACUCACCUGCCGAAUGAACUAGCCCUGAAAAUGGAUGGCGCUUAAGCGUGCUACCGAUACUCUACCGCAAAAGUUGAUUACAUUAAUAAUUCUUUUGCGAGUAGGCAGGCGUGGGGGUUAGUAUAGAAGCUGUGGGUGUGAACUCCAGUGGAACAACC
Molecule: ribosomal RNA, 1597 nt
Filed under: Smittium cf. morbosum ARG-GM-2
Lineage: Eukaryota; Fungi; Kickxellomycota; Harpellomycetes; Harpellales; Legeriomycetaceae
Description: eukaryotic LSU rRNA
Rfam family: Eukaryotic large subunit ribosomal RNA
Source: RNAcentral